AGCGAACGCUGGCGGCAGGCUUAACACAUGCAAGUCGAACGCACCCUUCGGGGUGAGUGGCAGACGGGUGAGUAACGCGUGGGAACGUGCCCUUUGGUUCGGAAUAACUCAGGGAAACUUGAGCUAAUACCGGAUAAGCCCUUGGCUUUGGCCUGGGGGAAAGAUUUAUCGCCGAAGGAUCGGCCCGCGUCUGAUUAGCUAGUUGGUGGGGUAAUGGCCCACCAAGGCGACGAUCAGUAGCNGGUCUGAGAGGAUGAUCAGCCACACUGGGACUGAGACACGGCCCAGACUCCUACGGGAGGCAGCAGUGGGGAAUAUUGGACAAUGGGGGCAACCCUGAUCCAG
Molecule: ribosomal RNA, 345 nt
Filed under: uncultured bacterium
Lineage: Bacteria
Description: bacterial SSU rRNA
Rfam family: Bacterial small subunit ribosomal RNA
Source: RNAcentral